RNAcentral lists this ribosomal RNA (465 nucleotides) under Vreelandella stevensii. Its description in RNAcentral is "partial 16S ribosomal RNA". It matches the Rfam family "Bacterial small subunit ribosomal RNA", at positions 338 to 795 of the family's 1533-position model. The record is from RNAcentral. Lineage: Bacteria; Pseudomonadati; Pseudomonadota; Gammaproteobacteria; Oceanospirillales; Halomonadaceae.
CCUACGGGAGGCAGCAGUGGGGAAUAUUGGACAAUGGGCGAAAGCCUGAUCCAGCCAUGCCGCGUGUGUGAAGAAGGCCUUCGGGUUGUAAAGCACUUUCAGUGGGGAAGAAAGCCUUGGGGCUAAUACCCUCGAGGAAGGACAUCACCCACAGAAGAAGCACCGGCUAACUCCGUGCCAGCAGCCGCGGUAAUACGGAGGGUGCGAGCGUUAAUCGGAAUUACUGGGCGUAAAGCGCGCGUAGGCGGUCUGAUAAGCCGGUUGUGAAAGUCCCGGGCUCAACCUGGGAACGGCAUCCGGAACUGUCAGGCUAGAGUGCAGGAGAGGAAGGUAGAAUUCCCGGUGUAGCGGUGAAAUGCGUAGAGAUCGGGAGGAAUACCAGUGGCGAAGGCGGCCUUCUGGACUGACACUGACGCUGAGGUGCGAAAGCGUGGGUAGCAAACAGGAUUAGAUACCCGGGUAGUC